RNAcentral lists this ribosomal RNA (779 nucleotides) under uncultured bacterium. RNAcentral's name for it is "bacterial SSU rRNA". It matches the Rfam family "Bacterial small subunit ribosomal RNA", at positions 575 to 1352 of the family's 1533-position model. The record is from RNAcentral.
GUGGUUUGUCGCGUUGUUCGUGAAAUCUCACGGCUUAACUGUGAGCGUGCGGGCGAUACGGGCAGACUUGAGUACUGCAGGGGAGACUGGAAUUCCUGGUGUAGCGGUGGAAUGCGCAGAUAUCAGGAGGAACACCGGUGGCGAAGGCGGGUCUCUGGGCAGUAACUGACGCUGAGGAGCGAAAGCGUGGGGAGCGAACAGGAUUAGAUACCCUGGAUAGUCCACGCCGUAAACGGUGGGUACUAGGUGUGGGUUUCCUUCCUUGGGAUCCGUGCCGUAGCUAACGCAUUAAGUACCCCGCCUGGGGAGUACGCCCGCAAGGCUAAAACUCAAAGAAAUUGACGGGGGCCCGCACAAGCGGCGGAGCAUGUGGAUUAAUUCGAUGCAACGCGAAGAACCUUACCUGGGUUUGACAUGCACAGUACGCCGGCAGAGAUGUCGGUUCCCUUGUGGCCUGUGUGCAGGUGGUGCAUGGCUGUCGUCAGCUCGUGUCGUGAGAUGUUGGGUUAAGUCCCGCAACGAGCGCAACCCUUGUCUCAUGUUGCCAGCGGGUAAUGCCGGGGACUCGUGAGAGACUGCCGGGGUCAACUCGGAGGAAGGUGGGGAUGACGUCAAGUCAUCAUGCCCCUUAUGUCCAGGGCUUCACACAUGCUACAAUGGCCGGUACAAAGGGCUGCGAUGCCGCGAGGUUAAGCGAAUCCUUUUAAAGCCGGUCUCAGUUCGGAUCGGGGUCUGCAACUCGACCCCGUGAGUCGGAGUCGCUAGUAAUCGCAGAUCAG